CAGCCGCCGCGGUAAUGCGUAGGGUGCAAGCGUUAAUCGGAAUUACUGGGCGUAAAGCGUGCGCAGGCGGUUUGUUAAGACAGAUGUGAAAUCCCCGGGCUCAACCUGGGAACUGCAUUUGUGACUGGCAAGCUAGAGUGUGGCAGAGGGGGGUGGAAUUCCGCGUGUAGCAGUGAAAUGCGUAGAUAUGCGGAGGAACACCGAUGGCGAAGGCAGCCCCCUGGGACAACACUGACGCUGAGGCACGAAAGCGUGGGGAGCAAGCAGGAUUAGAUACCCGCGUAGUCCCUGUCUCUUAUAC
RNAcentral lists this ribosomal RNA (301 nucleotides) under uncultured bacterium. Its description in RNAcentral is "partial 16S ribosomal RNA". It matches the Rfam family "Bacterial small subunit ribosomal RNA", at positions 509 to 807 of the family's 1533-position model. The record is from RNAcentral.